AUCACUUCUCAGCCUUUUGGCUAAGAUCACAUGUAGUAUCUGUUCUUACCAGUUUAAUAUCUGACAUGUCCUCUAUUCAAAGACAAUAUAUUAAAUGUAUUUUUGGAGAAGGGAGAUGAAAUAGGAGCUUGCUCCAUCCACUCCACACAUCAACCUGGUCUUGCAGUACCUCCAGGAACAGAGCACCCCUA
This 191-nucleotide small nuclear RNA is filed under the name Propithecus coquereli (Coquerel's sifaka). Its description in RNAcentral is "U2 spliceosomal RNA (ENSPCOG00000004406.1)". It matches the Rfam family "U2 spliceosomal RNA". Rfam says of the family: U2 is a small nuclear RNA (snRNA) component of the spliceosome (involved in pre-mRNA splicing). Complementary binding between U2 snRNA (in an area lying towards the 5' end but 3' to hairpin I) and the branchpoint sequence (BPS) of the intron results the bulging out of an unpaired adenosine, on the BPS, which initiates a nucleophilic attack at the intronic 5' splice site, thus starting the first of two transesterification reactions that mediate splicing. Lineage: Eukaryota; Metazoa; Chordata; Mammalia; Primates; Indriidae. The record is from Rfam by way of RNAcentral.